UACGAGGGGGGCGAGCGUUGUUCGGAAUUACUGGGCGUAAAGCGUGCGCAGGCGGUUCUGUAAGACAGAUGUGAAAUCCCCGGGCUCAACCUGGGAACUGCAUUUGUGACUGUAGAGCUGGAGUGCGGCAGAGGGGGAUGGAAUUCCGCGUGUAGCAGUGAAAUGCGUAGAUAUGCGGAGGAACACCGAUGGCGAAGGCAAUCCCCUGGGCCUGCACUGACGCUCAUGCACGAAAGCGUGGGGAGCAAACAGG
This 253-nucleotide ribosomal RNA is filed under the name uncultured bacterium. RNAcentral's name for it is "partial 16S ribosomal RNA". It matches the Rfam family "Bacterial small subunit ribosomal RNA", at positions 524 to 776 of the family's 1533-position model. The record is from RNAcentral.